CAAGGAAUAGUUUAAUUAGAAUUUCAGCUUUGGGUGUUGAUGGUGGAGUAUUGUAGGCUUCUUCCUUGA
RNAcentral lists this transfer RNA (69 nucleotides) under Idiurus macrotis (long-eared scaly-tailed flying squirrel). RNAcentral describes it as "tRNA-Pro". The record is from RNAcentral. Lineage: Eukaryota; Metazoa; Chordata; Mammalia; Rodentia; Anomaluridae.